RNAcentral lists this ribosomal RNA (301 nucleotides) under uncultured bacterium. RNAcentral's name for it is "partial 16S ribosomal RNA". It matches the Rfam family "Bacterial small subunit ribosomal RNA", at positions 509 to 809 of the family's 1533-position model. The record is from RNAcentral.
CAGUCGCCGCGGUAAUGCGAAGGGUGCAAGCGUUAAUCGGAAUUACUGGGCGUAAAGCGUGCGUAGGCGGAUCGAUCAGUCAGGGGUGAAAUCCCAGGGCUCAACCCUGGAACUGCCUUUGAUACUGUCGAUCUGGAGUAUGGAAGAGGUGAGUGGAAUUCCGAGUGUAGAGGUGAAAUUCGUAGAUAUUCGGAGGAACACCAGUGGCGAAGGCGGCUCACUGGUCCAUUACUGACGCUGAGGUGCGAAAGCGUGGGGAGCAAACAGGAUUAGAUACCCCUGUAGUCCCUGUCUCUUAUAU